This 717-nucleotide ribosomal RNA is filed under the name Austrochloritis wollemiensis. Its description in RNAcentral is "partial large subunit ribosomal RNA". The stretch from base 327 to 480 matches the Rfam family "Archaeal large subunit ribosomal RNA", at positions 1885 to 2088 of the family's 2987-position model. Lineage: Eukaryota; Metazoa; Mollusca; Gastropoda; Stylommatophora; Camaenidae. The record is from RNAcentral.
GAGCUAAUUAUUAUAUAUUUGUAGAUAGUAAGGUGUUGCAUAACUUAAGAAAUAGUAAUUAGGGGUGAUAGGCUAAUCAACUUCAAUGAUAACUUGAUAAUCACUAAACGUAAAAGUACAAAAAACACUUUUAGAAUGAUAAGGUUUUAAAAGAUUAACAAUAUACUUAAAUUUUAAAAAUGCUCUGUUUAAUCACUAGUAUAUUUAUAAUAUAUAAUACAUUGAGUGUGGCUGUUUUUAAUAUUGAUUAAUAUUAAAAUGAUAAUAUAUAUAAAUAAUGUUGAUAUUAGUAAUAGUAAGUACACAACAUGAACUCGGCAAUAAGUCUUUUAACUGUUUAUCAAAAACAUAGCUACAUGUAUUUAUAUGUGGUAAUUUCUGCUCAAUGAAGUUUAAAUAGCCGCAGUACUCUGACUGUGCUAAGGUAGCGCAAUCAAUUGGCUUUUAAUUGAAGUCCUGUAUGAAAGAAAACAUAAGGGGCUACUUUAUUUUUUGUACUUAAUGAAUUUACUUAAAAAGUGCAAAUUCUUUUAUUUAAAUAAAAGACGAGAAGACCCUAGAAAUUUUAUAGACUAAGGCUUUUUGUUGGGGCAACAAAGUAGCAAUAUAAUCUACUAUAAAUACAUGACAUAUAUAUUUUGUAAGAUUAAAUUACUCUAGGGAUAACAGCAUAAUUUUAUGAAAGUUUGUGACCUCGAUGUUGGAUUAGGGUAUUAA